This 376-nucleotide ribosomal RNA is filed under the name uncultured bacterium. RNAcentral's name for it is "bacterial SSU rRNA". It matches the Rfam family "Bacterial small subunit ribosomal RNA", at positions 523 to 898 of the family's 1533-position model. The record is from RNAcentral.
AUACGUAGGGGGCGAGCGUUACCCGGAAUCACUGGGCGUAAAGGGAGCGUAGGUGGCCUGACAUGUCAACUGUGGAAACCCGGAGCUCAACUCCGGACUUGCAGUUGAAACUGCCAGGCUUGAGGACGGUAGAGGAAGACGGAACUGCCAGUGUAGGGGUAAAAUCCUUAGAUAUUGGCAGGAACGCCGGUGACGAAGGUGGUUUUCUGGGCCGGUUCUGACACUGAUGCUCGAAAGCCAGGGGAGCGAACGGGAUUAGAUACCCCGGUAGUCCUGGCCCUAAACGAUGUUCACUAGGUGUGGGGAGCGAAAAGCUUUCCGUGCUAAAGCUAACGCGAUAAGUGAACCGCCUGGGGAGUACGCCCGCAAGGGUGAA